UCAAAAGUUACCUUCCAAUGCCUGGACUGUGAUCACACCUGUUUCUAAUUGACUGAUAAGGAGGAGUAAUGUUUUGCACCUGUGCCACUUGCACAUACUCUGCCCUCCAGCCAAACAGAAAUUGACGCUUGCAGAACCCAGCCUGUUAGGGCUGACCAUGUUAAAGGACAUCAGACAUUAAAAAAAGCGGAGCCCUUCAGGGGAGAAUUUUUGUUGAACGGCAACCCGAGCAGAACAGCUUGGAUUUAUUCCGCCAGCAAAAAAGGUACUGGAGAUGGGACAGAUAAGUGUUUUGUCAGAUGGAUGUGGCUGAAAACAGAAAACUCAGCUGAUCUUGUAUUUCACGGCCUAGAGUUCACCAUUUUUUUUUCUCUCCAUUCUCUGUGGGGCGUAUAUUCUUCAGCAGUCUGUGAAUCAUUUCAGAGACGUGGAUACGUGUGCAUGUCUAAAGCAAACCCCCAACCAAGACCAACACAAAUGCAGUCGUCACAACGACCAUCACAGGGGAUUAACAAGUUUCUGACAGGACUCUCUGUGGGAUUUUCUGCUGUGAGGCACUCUCAGCAAACACUUCAUCAUCACACCCCCAAAAGAACAUCACCCACCCAGAUUGAAAAGGACAGGUUCAGGGUGAGGGCAAGGCAAAGAGGGGAGCGAUGGAAGAUGUGAAGUAUGGAAGGAGGUGCAGCAACCGCUGUCCACUAAUGAGGUGCCAUGCUCCUGCUAUAAACCACUGUGGACAGAUAUAGCCAGAGGACAGCUGCACAGUGAGCGUUGUUGGAUGAGUUGCUGGGUGAAUUUGUGUGUUAGAAAAAUCAGGCUCUCCAUUAAAGGCAAUGGCUAAGUUGUACAUUGUUAAAGGGAUAGCUGGAAUUUGUGAAAGUAAGGCCUCAUGGAGACGAACAGUUGGUAUCUUAACUGCAGAGGAGAGCAGGACCAAAAGAAACUGUAUUAUGAACUUUUACUUUUACUUUUUAUGAUGCUCCUAUUAAAGGCCAUGGGGAAAUUUAAGACUACCCUUGCUCCUUCCACAGGACCUAAGGUAAGAGAGUAGCCAGCAGGGUCAUCAUUAAUUUAUCAGUAAUUAUUAGCAUCUUGUCUGGAACACACAGGAAUGUGUCUGCUCAGAGUUAUUGUGAGUUAAUCCUGCGGCAGACCCAGAAUUCAGUGGGUAGUAUAAUACAGUCCUUACGUGUAAGCACACUUUGGGACCCUUCAGGAUGAGCUGGAGAAUAAUUCUGACUGGACCUGUUGCACCUUUGAACACAAUAAAAAGACGGCUUGCUUGGUGCAAUUGCUAAGAGAUGGCAUAUUUCCUUUUAAAGGAAAAUGGCAGCAAGGUCUAGGUUUACAAAGUUGGAUCUAUCUCUGCAUAAAGACUCAUGGAACAAUGUCCUUUGGGCAGAUGACAGUAAUAAUGCAAACUGUUGAAAACCAAGCACACCAAUUUCAUAAACGCAUCAUUUCUUCUCUAGAGCAUGGAGAUGAGGGAGUGAUGGAUUGCGCAGGUCCCUUUUUAGUCAAUGAACUGAAUAUAAACUUCUCUCAAACAAAGCAUUUCAGAACAUAUUGUAUAAGGCAGAUGGGUUUCCAACAGGACAAUGAUACCAAGCAUAGCAGGAGAUCUUCAACAGGAGAUCAAAAUGUGAUGCUGUGCAGAAAGAAUUCCUCAAUUAAAUGAAGCAAUGUGGUAAAAACGUUGUCCUCAAAACUGUACGCAGAAAAUAAAAUGUGCAUAAACAAUGUGUGUUUUAAAAAUUA
This is a long non-coding RNA of Gambusia affinis (western mosquitofish), 1761 nucleotides long. RefSeq lists it as uncharacterized. NCBI's taxonomy places the organism in Eukaryota, Metazoa, Chordata, Actinopteri, Cyprinodontiformes, Poeciliidae. The record is from RefSeq and is a predicted model, not a curated record. The transcript is spliced from 2 exons.